Molecule: ribosomal RNA, 498 nt
Filed under: uncultured bacterium
Lineage: Bacteria
Description: bacterial SSU rRNA
Rfam family: Bacterial small subunit ribosomal RNA
Source: RNAcentral
ACUCAAAGGAAUAGACGGGGGCCCGCACAAGCGGAGGAACAUGUGGUUUAAUUCGAUGAUACGCGAGGAACCUUACCCGGGAUUGAAAUGGAGGGGAAUGGUGUUGAAAGGCAUCAGUCAGCAAUGACCCCUUUGUAGGUGCUGCAUGGUUGUCGUCAGCUCGUGCCGUGAGGUGUCGGCUUAAGUGCCAUAACGAGCGCAACCCUGAUUGUCAGUUGCUAGCGGGUAAUGCCGAGGACUCUGACGAGACUGCCGGCGUAAGCUGUGAGGAAGGUUGGGAUGACGUCAAAUCAGCACGGCCCUUACAUCCGGGGCGACACACGUGUUACAAUGGUUGGGACAAAGGGCAGCUACCGGGCGACCGGAUGCUAAUCUCUAAACCCAAUCUCAGUUCGGAUCGGAGUCUGCAACUCGACUCCGUGAAGCCGGAUUCGCUAGUAAUCGCGCAUCAGCCAUGGCGCGGUGAAUACGUUCCCGGGCCUUGUACACACCGCCCGU